CAGAGGGUGCGAGCGUUGUUCGGAAUUACUGGGCGUAAAGCGCGCGCAGGCGGCUUCCUAAGUCUUGUGGUCAAAUGCCGGGGCUCAACCCCGAGCGUGCCGGGGAUACUGGGAGGCUGGAGACAGGUAGAGGCAAGCGGAAUUCCGGGUGUAGCGGUGGAAUGCGUAGAGAUCCGGAAGAACACCGGAGGCGAAGGCGGCUUGCUGGACCUGGUCUGACGCUGAGGCGCGAAAGCGUGGGGAGCGAACAGGAUUAGAUACCCUGGUAGUCCACGCCGUAAACGAUGGGCACUAGACGCUGGUGGGAUCGACCCCUUCAGUGUCGAAGCUAACGCGAUAAGUGCCCCGCCUGGGGAGUACGGCCGCAAGGCUG
Molecule: ribosomal RNA, 373 nt
Filed under: uncultured organism
Description: bacterial SSU rRNA
Rfam family: Bacterial small subunit ribosomal RNA
Source: RNAcentral